CCUACGGGAGGCAGCAGUGGGGAAUAUUGGACAAUGGGCGCAAGCCUGAUCCAGCAACGCCGCGUGAAGGAAGAAGGCUUUCGGGUUGUAAACUUCUUUUUACAGGGACGUAAGAAGUGACGGUACCUCAUUAAUAAGCCUCGGCUAACUACGUGCCAGCAGCCGCGGUAAUACGUAGGCGGCAAGCGUUAUCCGGAUUUACUGGGUGUAAAGGGUGAGUAGGCGGGAUGGUAAGUCAGAUGUGAAAGCCUUGGGCUUAACCCGAAGAUUGCAUUUGGAACUAUCAUUCCAGAGUACAGGAGAGGCAAGCGGAAUUCCGUGUGUAGCGGUGAAAUGCGUAGAUAUUAGGAAGAACACCAGUGGCGAAGGCGGCUUUCUGGACUGCAACUGACGCUGAGGCACGAAAGCGUGGGGAGCAAACAGGAUUAGAUACCCUUGUAGUC
RNAcentral lists this ribosomal RNA (443 nucleotides) under uncultured bacterium. RNAcentral's name for it is "partial 16S ribosomal RNA". It matches the Rfam family "Bacterial small subunit ribosomal RNA", at positions 338 to 795 of the family's 1533-position model. The record is from RNAcentral.